This is a long non-coding RNA of Gallus gallus (chicken), 3098 nucleotides long. The record is from Ensembl. Lineage: Eukaryota; Metazoa; Chordata; Aves; Galliformes; Phasianidae.
GGCUGAGUGAAUCAUAAACUGGUAUUCUCAUAUCAGCAAGUCUGGGAACCAUUAGUACCAAAUUCACUACCUUACACUACUUCACAAGAGCAUCGGACAGCUCUCUAUUCAAUUCAAAGAAAUUUUGGAGGAAGUGUCGCGUAAACUCCAGAUGGUAACUGAGGUGCACCUAGAUGUUGACUGCAACGCCUAUAGAUCUUGGUGAAACAAACCCACAUUUUAGGUUUUGUGUUGUAUUUUUGUCCCACAGAAAAAUACAGUAACUGCGUUGACUCUACUAGGGACUUCAAAGCAAGAAGAAAAAUGAAAAGAUGGCAGCAGAGGGACAGUCUGACACAUCAGCAUGUGACAUGGAAGUACAUACGGAGAAAAGGUCUUCAAGUCUGGAUCAUGAAAGCUGACAGCCUUAUUUUCUUUCUGGAUUUUCGUAGUCAGGAGACCUUUCUGCUGUAUGAACUAUUCACUUGUAAACAUACUAUCUGCAAGAUGGAAUAUUGCAGAUAUUCUCUAACCCACUGAAAAAUCAUGCUCAGAAGAAAUUGUGCAAGUGACACCAGUUUUCCUCUCUGGUACUGAAUGAAAUUAAGUUAUAAUAAAGUAUGUCACUGUAGAUUCAUUCCAAUGUAUUUUUCUACUGUUGUGGAAAGUCAUUUUCAUGGCAAGGAUUUUUUGGUUUAAACUUCUCAUACAAAACAAGGCAUAAAGUCUAACAAAUGGAGCAGACUAUUUCUGACUGUUAUUUUAUUUAUUGCUGGUCUAACAUUGAAUUUGAUUUAUUUUGGGUAACAAAAAUAACAGUUUUCUACCCUAGAGACAAUUAGUUUUAUGCUUUGUAUAAUUUGGUACAUCUUUACAACAUCUGAAUCUACUUCCCAGUAACAGAUUCAAAUGUCACACAGUUAAAAGUUCCUACAUAAAAGAGGAAAACAGUAAAUAUCAAGUGCAUUUCUGUGACUGCUCUUAUCUAUAUUAACAUUCCAGAAUACUUCUCAAACUUAAGCAGCUACUGGGAAUAGGUUUCUCUUUUUUUCUUUUUCUUGCUAAAUGCAACUAUCUGUAUAUUCAACUAUAUUUUUUCAACAAUAUACAUUUAAGAAAGAAAGAAAGAAAAAAAAAACAAAUACUGAAAUGUUCCAUUGGUUUUACAGCUGACCUUCUUCACUGAUUUGAACUGGGAAAGCAAAAUAUAAUUUCUUGCACUUGUCCCAUACAAAUAUUAUUUUUCAUUUUAUAAUGAUCUGAAUGAAACCUUAUGGCAGCCAGGAACUCCUUUCAUUUCCUAUGGCCAAAUCUUUUCAGUUGUCUCAAUUUAUUUGAACCUGACAGGACAAGAGGUAAUGGUUUUAAAGUUAAGGAGGGAAAGUUUUAAUUAGGUAUGAGAAAGUCAUUUUUCACUAUAGGGGUGAUGAGACACUGGAACUGGUUGCCCAGAGAAGAUGCUGAAAUCCCAUUUUCAAGGCCAAGUUGGAUGUGACUUUGAGCAACCUGGUACAGAGAAAGUUGUCCCUGCCCACAGCAGCGGGGUAGGAACUAGAUUAUCUUUAAUGCCCUUUUCAACCCAAGCCAUUCUACAAUUCUAUGAUUCUAUGUUAAGAAGUUUUUGCCUUCAGAGGGCAUAAAAUAUAACGGUAUGACAACUUUAAAUUCAUCUUCAACUAAAUCAUAAAGAUUAGUAAACAAACUGACUACUGAUUGGGAAGUCAAAACUUGUCUGCACACGCAUGGUGACAAACGAAUUCCCCUCUUUUGCUGCUCUGCCCUGUCUUGCUUUGAAAUAUUGCUUAUCUGUCAGAAGCUAUGUAGAGGAUCUUGAACCUAGGUGGUUGUGCCAGCCACCACAUUUGAAAAAUAUCAUUCAACUAAGCAGAAAGUGUUGCUGCAACAGAAAAGAAAACAGUCCUUAAAAAGUUUAUCUCUUGCAUCAGAAUUCUCUCUUUUGAAAAUAAUUUGAAUUUUCAAAGCCCCUCAUUGUUGUCCUGAAAGGAAUUCUUCUACACAGAGAUGAAAGUUUUAUAAAAUAUAUUCAAAGUUGAUGGUUUCUAAAACACUGUGUAAUAGCAUAUUAUGUGUUGUAUGAUAUUUAAUGUUAAUGACUUGAAUAAAAAACCCUUGGUGGGAAUUCAUUUGAUUUUUUGUAGCUUGAAUCUUAUGACUAAAUCUUCCCAUUAAAUUUAGUUUUAGUAUUUAAGUGUUUAAUUUUUACAUAUCUCUAGAUGGUAAGCAGAAUCUGUGUGAUGACACAUGGUACAGAGACUAUGAUAUUACAAAGAUUCACACUAAAUUCUGUAAUUAAUUUUGACAGUCAAAUAUUGCUACAGUUUUUAAAAAUGCUAAAUUUGCUGAACAAAUUCUGUAGGAAUUAAAGAAUUAUUUCAGGUUUCUGUUCAAAGUCUCAAAGAAAAAACAAACUAAAACAACAAGAAAAAGUGAAUUGCUUUUCCAUAUUGAGGAUAUAGAAUUCAGGGUGUUUUCUCAGAGAGGACUGUUUUGUUGGUAUAUUGUCAGACAGAAGGUUGAAACUGAAAUUUGAAACCAUGAAUUUUAUGAUUUUUUUUUUUUUACAUCUUUAUCAGUAAGGUUUUUCUCUUUAAAAUGUAUGGGAAGUAAACACUAUAAUAAAACAUACGUAAAACUUCUGAUUUUGUUGUUGCUGUUAUUCUCUGAUCAUUGACUAUCAUGUAAUUACAAGCAUUACAAACUCAUGCUGUAACAGAAUUUUGAUUAUCUGUAAUGACUUCAAGUACCCCUUAUUGGUUGUGGUAAAAUCCUGUUAAUUAUAAAUGAGUAUUUGUCAGCAAGGAAUGAGGUAUCGGUUUAUGCUGGUGAUGCUCAAGGACUUCAAAUGUUUCAUUUUUUCAAGGAAAUGCAAGGAGAAGGGUCUCUAAUAUAUGACAUUUCAAAAGGGACAUAAUUUCUACAUCCUUCACACUCGCUUCUCAACUCAAGUUGAGUAGUGCUAGAAGAAAGGAUGAACGGACUCCGUAGUGCCCAUAAUUUGUUCUACUUGCAGCGUAUAAAUAUAUAUGUAAUCUUUUCCUAAAUUGUUGUUCUGAGAAUGUUUUGUAAAAGACAGAAUAUUUACAAUAAAAUGGCUGCAG